UGCCAGUUCGUCUAAUGGUAGGACAGCAGACUCUGGAUCUGUUUGUGGGGGUUCGAGUCCUCCACUGGCAG
This 71-nucleotide transfer RNA is filed under the name bacterium ADurb.Bin363. RNAcentral describes it as "tRNA-Gln". It matches the Rfam family "tRNA". From Rfam's summary of the family: Transfer RNA (tRNA) molecules are approximately 80 nucleotides in length. Their secondary structure includes four short double-helical elements and three loops (D, anti-codon, and T loops). The record is from RNAcentral. RNAcentral also lists the same sequence under 1 other name.